Dioscorea cayenensis subsp. rotundata (Guinea yam) is the source of this 107-nucleotide small nucleolar RNA. The record is from RefSeq and is a predicted model, not a curated record. Lineage: Eukaryota; Viridiplantae; Streptophyta; Magnoliopsida; Dioscoreales; Dioscoreaceae.
AAUCCAUGUUGUGGACACUUCUGCAAGAGAUCCUUGAAUCGCUCCCACGUCUCAAACAAGGAUUCAAGCUCCAUCUUAACAAAUGACGAUAGUUUAUUACGAUGCAU